Molecule: ribosomal RNA, 496 nt
Filed under: uncultured bacterium
Lineage: Bacteria
Description: partial 16S ribosomal RNA
Rfam family: Bacterial small subunit ribosomal RNA
Source: RNAcentral
ACGAACGCUGGCGGCGUGCCUCAUACAUGCAAGUUGAGCGCUGAAGGUUGGUACUUGUACCACCUGGAUGAGCAGCGAACGGGUGAGUAACGCGUGGGGAAUCUGCCUUUGAGCGGGGGACAACAUUUGGAAACGAAUGCUAAUACCGCAUAAAAACUUUAAACACAAGUUUUAAGUUUGAAAGAUGCAAUUGCAUCACUCAAAGAUGAUCCCGCGUUGUAUUAGCUAGUUGGUGAGGUAAAGGCUCACCAAGGCGAUGAUACAUAGCCGACCUGAGAGGGUGAUCGGCCACAUUGGGACUGAGACACGGCCCAAACUCCUACGGGAGGCAGCAGUAGGGAAUCUUCGGCAAUGGACGAAAGUCUGACCGAGCAGCGCCGCGUGAGUGAAGAAGGGUGUCGGAUCGUAAAACUCUGUUGGUAGAGAAGAACGUUGGUGAGAGUGGAAAGCUCAUCAAGUGACGGUAACUACCCAGAAAGGGACGGCUAACUACGUG